GGCUCAGAUUGAACGCGGGCGGCAUGCUUUACACAUGCAAGUCGAACGGCAGCACGGACUUCGGUCUGGUGGCGAGUGGCGAACGGGUGAGUAAUAUAUCGGAACAUGUCCGGAAGUGGGGGAUAACGUACCGAAAGGUACGCUAAUACCGCAUAUGCCCUGAGGGGGAAAGGGGGGGAUCGUAAGACCUCUCGCUUUCGGAGUGGCCGAUAUCGGAUUAGCUAGUAGGUGAGGUAAAGGCUCACCUAGGCGACGAUCCGUAGCUGGUCUGAGAGGACGACCAGCCACACUGGGACUGAGACACGGCCCAGACUCCUACGGGAGGCAGCAGUGGGGAAUUUUGGACAAUGGGCGAAAGCCUGAUCCAGCCAUGCCGCGUGAGUGAAGAAGGCCUUCGGGUUGUAAAGCUCUCUCAGACGGAAAGAAAUCGCACUUAUUAAUACUAAGUGUGGAUGACGGUACCGUAAGAAGAAGCACCGGCUAACUACGUGCCGGCAGCCGCGGUAAUACGUAGGGUGCGAGCGUUAAUCGGAAUUACUGGGCGUAAAGCGUGCGCAGGCGGCUUUGUAAGACAGAUGUGAAAUCCCCGGGCUUAACCUGGGAACUGCAUUUGUGACUGCAAGGCUAGAGUGUAGCAGAGGGGGGUAGAAUUCCACGUGUAGCAGUGAAAUGCGUAGAGAUGUGGAGGAAUACCGAUGGCGAAGGCAGCCCCCUGGGCUAACACUGACGCUCAUGCACGAAAGCGUGGGGAGCAAACAGGAUUAGAUACCCUGGUAGUCCACGCCCUAAACGAUGUCAACUAGGUGUUGGGGAAGGAGACUUCUUUAGUACCGCAGCUAACGCGUGAAGUUGACCGCCUGGGGAGU
RNAcentral lists this ribosomal RNA (866 nucleotides) under uncultured bacterium. RNAcentral's name for it is "bacterial SSU rRNA". It matches the Rfam family "Bacterial small subunit ribosomal RNA", at positions 21 to 881 of the family's 1533-position model. The record is from RNAcentral.